This is a long non-coding RNA of Salvelinus fontinalis (brook trout), 768 nucleotides long. RefSeq lists it as uncharacterized. Lineage: Eukaryota; Metazoa; Chordata; Actinopteri; Salmoniformes; Salmonidae. The record is from RefSeq and is a predicted model, not a curated record. The transcript is spliced from 2 exons.
GGCUGUGUCCCACUAGCCUGCGUUAUUACUUGCAUAACUGGUAGGACUGCUUUGCUGGAUUAUACUAUAUCUUACUGACAGAUCAAUGAGUUAAGAAACUCUCUCAGAAGCAGUCUUGGAGAUAUGACUUAUCUCUCAGAAGCAGUCUUGGCGAUAUACCAAAUCAUCUACUCAUAUAGAUGUAUAUCCAGUGAACUCAUUGAUAAUGCAACAACGCCCAAAACCAGAUGUACAUAAGUCAAGAGAGCGAUGGGAAUCCGAUUUUAAUACUACAAUUGAGGGGCUAUGGUAAGUAAUAUGCCAAGAUAGUGUGUCAGCAACCAUCAACUCAAGAUACAGACUUCUACAUUACAACUUCCUCCACCAACUCUGACACCUCAGAGGUUACAUAGAUAUAACCCUGAAAUAUCAGAAACGUGUUUUAGAUAUGGAACAACAGAAGGCACUUUUUGUCAUUCUACUUGGCAGUGUACUAAAUUACAAGCCUUCUGGCAUGAUGUUUGUGAUACCCUGGCCUUUAUUUUGGAGGUCCCUUUCUCACUUGAACCUGAAAUAUGCCUUCUGGGUAACUUCACAAAAUGUGAAUUUGAGGAAUAACUUCAACAUAAAAUGUACAGAAAUCACCCUUGCCACUAAGAAAAUGUGUUAGAUUGACAUGGAAAUCAGAUUCCCCUCUCUCAAUUACAAGAUUGCUCUCUGAAAUGAAUAAGUGUAUUCCUAUGGAGAUUACCUAUGCUUUAAGAAAUAAAUGUUACUACUUUGUGAAAA